This is an RNA transcript of Strigops habroptila (Kakapo), 5368 nucleotides long. It is a transcript of the gene named DNA ligase 3, with no coding region annotated. Lineage: Eukaryota; Metazoa; Chordata; Aves; Psittaciformes; Psittacidae. The transcript has 21 exons. The record is from RefSeq and is a predicted model, not a curated record.
AGGGGCGGGGCGCGGCCGCGGAAGCUCCGCGAGCCGCGUUUGAAGGCACCGCGGCGGCGGCUGCGGCCUGCGGCGGGGGUUGGGGAGGGCCGGAGGGAGGGAAGGGGGAAGGUCGGGUCCGCACGGCUGGAGCUGAGGGCGGGAUGGCGGCGUUGUGAGAGCUCGCACGCACGGAGCAGGCUGGAUGCCCACAGGCAGCAGGACGCUGUCACAGGCUGCCCGGGCACUCGGCAGGGGCACAGGACUGUUCUCCCUCCACACACAGGUCUCCUUGCCAAGACCCUUCCUUUGCUGCAUUGGGCUCCCUGGGGCCUGCCUCCGUUACUGGUACCAGUUGCUGUUACAGCCUGUAUCUCUCUGGGCCGCAGGCAGAAACCAGGGUGGUGGUGCUGGGGGUUCCCAUUUCUCCCUGCUUUUGAACACUUGGCUUCGCCAGGCCUGCACAGCUGUAGGGGACAUGGCAGAGCAGAGGUACUGCGUAGACUAUGCCAAGCGUGGCACAGCAGGCUGCAAGAAGUGCAAGGAGAAGAUCGUGAAGGGAAUGGUGCGCAUUGGAAAGAUCGUUCCUAAUCCUUUCACGGAGUCUGGCGGGGACAUGAAGGAGUGGUACCAUGUGAAGUGCAUGUUUGAGAAGCUGGAUAAGGCCCGGGCCACCACCAAGAAAAUCGAAGACAUCACGGACUUGGAAGGAUGGGAAGAGCUACAAGAUGCGGAGAAAGACUUAAUCAACAAGCACAUCUCAGAAGCUAAUACCAAGGCUGGAAGUACACCGAAGAAAAAAGUGAUAGUCCAAGCUAAGCUCACUGCCACAGGACAGCUAACUACAAAAGAUCCAUUAGCUCUCAUCAAUCCAUCACCGAAGAAGUUCUCUGGCUUCACAGCCAAGCCAAAGAAUUCAGACGAUAUCUCUGCAAACUCUUCCCACAAGUCCAGCCUAUCUGCAAAAAAAUGUGAUCCAAAGCACAAAGACUGCUUGCUGCGUGAGUUCAGGAAGCUCUGUGCCAUGGUAGCCGAAAAGCCCAGCUAUAAUGUGAAAACACAGAUCAUCCAGGAUUUUCUGAAGAAGGGAUCUGGAGGAGAUGGCUUUCAUGGUGAUGUGUACCUGACCAUUAAGCUGCUGUUACCAGGCGUCAUUAAGAUUGUUUACAACCUGAACGAUAAGCAGAUUGUAAAGCUCUUCAGUAGGAUUUUUAACUGCAACCAAGAAGAAAUGGUCCGUGACCUGGAGCAGGGAGAUGUUUCCGAGACCAUACGCCUCUUCUUUGAACAGAGCAAGUGUUGUCCUCCAGCAGCCAAAAGCCUCCUGACCAUCCAAGAGGUAGAUGAAUUCCUCAUCCAGCUAUCGAAGCUCACUAAGGAAGAUGACCAGCAAAGUGUGCUGCAGCAUAUCACUCGCAGAUGUACGGGCAACGACCUGAAAUGCAUCAUCAGGCUAAUUAAGCAUGACUUGAAAAUGAAUGCUGGAGCAAAGCAUGUGUUGGAUGCUUUGGAUCCCAACGCUUACGAGGCGUUCAAAGCUUCACGCAACCUCCAGGAUGUGGUAGAGCGAGUGCUGAAGAACCAGCAGGAGGCUGAGAAGAUGCCAGGUCUGAAGCGGACCCUCAGCGUGCAGGCCUCCCUGAUGACCCCCGUGCAGCCCAUGCUGGCUGAAGCCUGCAAGUCCAUUGAGUAUGCCAUGAAGAAGUGCCCGAAUGGCAUGUAUGCAGAGAUCAAAUACGAUGGUGAGCGGGUGCAGGUCCAUAAGAAUGGAGAUCAUUUCAGCUACUUCAGCAGAAGCCUCAAGCCUGUCCUCCCACAUAAAGUGGCCCAUUUUAAGGACUUCAUCCCUCAGGCUUUCCCUGGUGGGCAAAGUAUGAUCCUGGAUUCAGAAGUUCUUCUGAUUGACAACAAAACUGGCAAGCCACUUCCUUUUGGGACUCUUGGCGUGCACAAGAAAGCUGCUUUCCAAGAUGCCAACGUUUGUUUGUUUGUGUUUGACUGCAUCUACUUCAAUGAUGUCAGCCUGAUGGACAGGCCUCUGUGUGAGCGUCGCAAGUUCCUCCACGAUAACAUGGUUGAGAUCCCCAACCGGAUCCUCUUCUCGGAGAUGAAGCACGUCACGAAAUCUUCAGAUCUGGCAGAUAUGAUCACCCGAGUCAUCCGUGAGGGACUGGAAGGGCUGGUGUUGAAAGAUACAAAGGGUAAUUAUGAACCAGGAAAGCGGCACUGGCUGAAGGUGAAGAAGGACUACCUAAACGAGGGUGCCAUGGCUGACACGGCAGACCUGGUGGUGCUGGGAGCUUUCUAUGGACAAGGCAGUAAAGGUGGGAUGAUGUCCAUCUUCCUCAUGGGCUGCUAUGAUCCCAAGAGUGAGAAGUGGUGCACUGUGACCAAGUGUUCUGGUGGCCACGAUGAUGCCACCCUGGCACGUCUGCAAACAGAGCUAGAUAUGGUGAAGAUCAGCAAGGAUCCCAGUAAAAUUCCAAGGUGGCUAAAAAUUAACAAAACAUACUACCCAGACUUCAUUGUCCCAGAUCCAAAGAAAGCCCCAGUGUGGGAGAUCACAGGGGCUGAGUUCUCUAAAGCUGAAGCCCACACUGCAGAUGGGAUCUCCAUUCGCUUCCCUCGCUGCACCCGCAUUCGCGAUGACAAAGACUGGCAGACAGCCACCAACCUCCAGCAGCUUAAGGGACCCUGGCAGCAGACAGAAGCACUUGUUAUGCCAUCGAAGCAAGAAGGGAUUCUGGCUCCUUAUGCAGGUGAAGGAGAGAAAGGAGCUGUACCAACUCUCCAAAGAGAAGGCUGAUUUCAGUGUUGCUGCUGGGGAGGAAGAUGAGUCCACAGCUGGCAGCAGUGGAGAGAAUGAGGGAAAUUCCAGGUCUUCCACACCACACAGCACUAUUAAAACUCCCCCAAGCAAGUCACCUGCAAAAGCCCAGAAGCCAGAAGAGAGCAAAGCAGUCGUUGGAUCCCCUCAAAAAUCAGAAGAGAAACGAGGGGAGAAGAGGAAAGCGUCUGAGAUGGAAGACAAUGGCAAAAAGAUACUGCUGGACAUAUUCACUGGUGUGAAGCUCUAUCUAUCGCCCUCUGUGAAGGACUUUGACAAAAUCCAGCGGUACUUUAUAGCAUAUGAUGGGGACCUUGUGACAGAGUCUGAUGCAGCCUCAGCAACCCAUGUUAUAGGGGACAUCGAUGACAAUCCUGGUGCUAAGCGUGUGUCUCCCAAGUGGAUCUGGGAGUGCAUCCGGAAGCAGAGGCUGGUAGCCCCAUGCUAGCAAUGGGGGGCAGCUGAGCAGUCCCACACAAGAAGUCCCUGAAGGUAACAGCUGAGAAGUAGGCAGGUGGAAGAAAUGGUGAGAUUCCUCUGUGGAGACAUGGAUAGAAAUAAAGUGCCCAAGACCAUCAGCGGUAGUUCUAAAGAUCCAUAUGGAAUCAAUUAAAACAGCUCUCUGAGGAAGUGUCGCUGCUGAAUCCAUUUUUCUGCCCAUACUGCAGGCUGCUGCACUUACCCCGGUGCUGGUUUAGUCUCUGAGUUUUUAAAGUUUGGGUAUUUUUAUAGAUAAAUAAAACUGAAGCAGUUUCUCCUUUGCUGUCAGGACUCAUUUUCCAAAAGUUGCUCUCUGCCUGGCCAGGAACCCAGCCCAUCAGCUGUGUGAAACUACCAGCUGUGAAUUGCUGCAUGGCUACAAGUCACAUGAAGGAUGCGUGUCCUUCUCCUGCUUUGACUUUUCUUUCCUAACGCUCAGCACAGGUCUGUAUCUGGUGGCAGUUUACACCUCUGCUGCAGGUUUCAUACUAAAACUGGGGCACCAACUAAUCUUCCAUUACAGCAACUGCUGUAGCAUUCUCCAAGCAUCCCCUUGGAGUGUUUGUCUUCUAGAAUAUGCUGCUCAGGAGUUCUGCUGUUCAUGUUUCACCAAAUAAAAGCAGAGGAAGGAACUCUACCAUCUGGAUAGUUGAGAGACCUCCUUCUCUGAAGCUGUUCAAAACUACUGCAAGUACUUGAAUAUUAAUAAAUAAGAUGGGGUUUAGGAACAGGGGUUCAUUUUAACUAUUAUGCAAAUGCCACUGUGACUCUGCAUGAUGUACUCAUGACUCUGCAUGAGUAGGGUGGGUGCAUGUGUACAUGAUGGAAGGAAAAUCAAGUUGACCAGAUUACUGGUUCCCUUAGUCUCAAGGGCGUUCUCCCCUUUGUAAUCUCCACACCAUUAAGACUGCAUUGCUAAAAGUUAGUGUUUGUUUGUUACCUUUCUUCCUUCAACCUCUCCUGUACUUGUCCCCCACCCACUGAUGGUAUUUAAGCGCCUGCUCUCCCAACUUCCCUGGUUGAAGUGCAGAAGUAGCUGUAGGGUCUCUGCUUUCUCCUGGCCUGUUGGUAACAGUCAGAAAACAAGGUUAACUAAAUCACAGUUCAACUUUAUUAUAAAAUUAUAAACCAAGCUUCUGUACCAAAACUAGGAAGUUUCACCAUCAUAGUACCAAGAGGAUUUAACAUGCCAUUUCAAGUAGAAUAUUAACUUUUAAAAUAUUUAAAGUAUGUACAGUGUACGUAAAGCACAUAAAUAUUUCCAUUUAUUAGUUCAGAUCAUUAUAUUCCUUUGGAUCAUUAAUCAGUUUCCUCCAGAUUUUGAUUUUCCUUUAAAAACAACCCAUCCAUAAGUAGAGACUCGUUUUUGCAAGGGAAACACUGGAGCCAGGAGCCAAAAAAGGAACCUCCUCCCUUCAGAAAGCACGUUUCAGAGUCACAGGGCGGAUGUAUCUUCUCAUUCCUACAAUUUCAGGUAUUGAUCUGCAACUUGCUUUAUCUGCUGUAGAAAAUAAGCCUAUACCCUCUCCAAGUAAAAGUACAUCUGUCUGCAGGGGAAUCAUCUUUUUCCUGCUUCCCCCCAGCCCUGAGUUUAUGGAAAAAUAUGACAACAUGAAUUUUCACAGUGAGUUUAUGAAUGAGGCUGUUCAACACUUUGUAUGUGUAUUCCUGUACAUCUGAGAGAGCUCCCUGUGAACCUCCUGAAGAGUAAAUACAGUGACUGCUUACCUGCCCUUUCUUUCCUUUCUUUAACAUGAUGCAUGGAAUUGUGCCAGUGCUCAUCUCCUGCUGGAAGCUGUUAAAGAACCACCUGAACAGAGAAGGAGGUAAAACUCUGAAUUCUUAGUUCAAUAACCUCAGCACCCAUUGUAGGUCUGUGGUCAGAGACCACCUCAAUAUUGCUGCAGUUCUGCUACCAAGAGACAGAUGUCUUCAGCUUAAGUGCUUUGUUAACACUCAUAGAGACCCUCCACUCCAUGCCAGUUGAGAAACAAGUUGCUACUCACGCCAUACUCCAUGUUAAAGAUGACACAAGUUUAAUUCCCUGUUAAUUAAACUUGUUAAUUACCACUUACUGCAAAA